Molecule: ribosomal RNA, 462 nt
Filed under: uncultured bacterium
Lineage: Bacteria
Description: bacterial SSU rRNA
Rfam family: Bacterial small subunit ribosomal RNA
Source: RNAcentral
UACGGAAGGCAGCAGUGGGGAAUAUUGCACAAUGGGCGAAAGCCUGAUGCAGCUAUGCCGCGUGUAUGAAGAAGGCCUUAGGGUUGUAAAGUACUUUCAUCGGGGAGGAAAAAACAAAACUAAUAAUUUUAUUUCUUGACGUUACCCGAAAAAGAAGCACCGGCUAACUCCGUGCCAGCAGCCGCGGUAAUACGGAGGGUGCUAGCGUUAAUCAGAAUUACUGGGCGUAAAGAGCACGUAGGUGGUUUUUUUAAAGUCAGAUGUGAAAUCCCUGGGCUUAACCUAGGAACUGCAUUUUGAAACUGAAAUACUAGAGUAUCGUAGAGGGAGGUAGAAUUCUAGGUGUAGCGGUGAAAUGCGUAGAUAUCUGGAGGAAUACCUGUGGCGAAAGCGGCCUCCUAAACCGAAUACUGACACUGAGGUGCGAAAGCGUGGGGAGCAAACCAGGGAUUAGAUACCCGU